This 253-nucleotide ribosomal RNA is filed under the name uncultured bacterium. RNAcentral describes it as "partial 16S ribosomal RNA". It matches the Rfam family "Bacterial small subunit ribosomal RNA", at positions 524 to 776 of the family's 1533-position model. The record is from RNAcentral.
UACGUAGGGGGCAAGCGUUGUCCGGAAUUAUUGGGCGUAAAGAGCGUGUAGGCGGUCCGGUAAGUCAGCUGUGAAAGUCAAGGGCUCAACCCUUGAAAGCCGGUUGAUACUGUCGGGCUAGAGUCCGGAAGAGGCGAGUGGAAUUCCCGGUGUAGCGGUGAAAUGCGCAGAUAUCGGGAGGAACACCAAUGGCGAAGGCAGCUCGCUGGGACGGUACUGACGCUGAGACGCGAAAGCGUGGGGAGCAAACGGG